AGAGUUUGAUCAUGGCUCAGGAUCAACGCUGGCGGCGUGCCUAAUGCAUGCAAGUCGCACGGACUACCUUCGGGUAGUCAGUGGCGAACGGCUGAGGAACACGUGCGUAUCUGCCUUCUCGUGGGGAAUAACGGGUGGAAACACCCGCUAAUACCGCGUACGCUCACGCAAGUGAGGAAAGCCCUUCGGGGCGCGGGGAGAGGAGCGCGCGGCCCAUCAGCUAGUUGGUGAGGUAACGGCUCACCAAGGCGAUGACGGGUAGCUGGUCUGAGAGGACGACCAGCCACACUGGAACUGAGAUACGGUCCAGGCACCUACGGGUGGCAGCAGUCGAGAAUUUUUCGCAAUGGGGGAAACCCUGACGGAGCGACGCCGCGUGGAGGAUGAAGGUCUUCGGAUUGUAAACUCCUGUCAUUGGUGAACAAGGUGCUCCUAUUAACUGUAGGGGUAAUUGCUAGUAGCCGAAGAGGAAGGGACGGCUAACUCUGUGCCAGCAGCCGCGGUAAUACAGAGGUCCCGAGCGUUGUUCGGAUUCAUUGGGCGUAAAGGGUGCGUAGGCGGCUUGCUAAGUCUGAUGUGAAAUCCUGGGGCUCAACCCUGGAACUGCAUUGGAUACUGGUGAGCUAGAGUACUGGAGAGGAAACUGGAAUUUACGGUGUAGCAGUGAAAUGCGUAGAGAUCGUAAGGAAGACCAGUGGCGAAGGCGAGUUUCUGGACAGUUACUGACGCUGAGGCACGAAGGCUAGGGGAGCAAACGGGAUUAGAUACCCCAGUAGUCC
This 779-nucleotide ribosomal RNA is filed under the name uncultured bacterium. Its description in RNAcentral is "bacterial SSU rRNA". It matches the Rfam family "Bacterial small subunit ribosomal RNA", at positions 8 to 796 of the family's 1533-position model. The record is from RNAcentral.